RNAcentral lists this ribosomal RNA (330 nucleotides) under Maculauger pseudopertusa. Its description in RNAcentral is "partial 12S ribosomal RNA". The record is from RNAcentral. Lineage: Eukaryota; Metazoa; Mollusca; Gastropoda; Neogastropoda; Terebridae.
UUUUGGAUGUAAAGUUACCGGAGUACUAUGAAUAUAAAAAAUUUAAAACUCAAAGAACUUGGCGGUGUUUUAGACCACUCAGGGGAACCUGUCUCGUAAUCGAUAGUCCACGUUGUAUCUGACCUUUUCUUGUUUUUCAGUUUGUAUACCGUUGUCGUCAGGUAACUUUUUAGAAACUAAAAGUUAGCAAUAGAAAUAUAAUUUAAUACGUCAAAUCAAGGUGCAGCUAAUGGAAGGGGGAGGAUGGGUUACAAUUAUAAUUUAUAAUACGGAAGGAGGACUUGAAAGUAAAUUAAAUCUGGAUAAUUUGAAUUGGGCUCUGAAACGUGU